GAUGAAGAACGUAGCGAAAUGCGAUAAGUAGUGUGAAUUGCAGAAUUCAGUGAAUCAUCGAAUCUUUGAACGCACAUUGCGCCCCUUGGUAUUCCAUGGGGCAUGCCUGUUCGAGCGUCAUUUGUACCUUCAAGCUCUGCUUGGUGUUGGGUGUUUGUCCUUGCUCUAGUGGCGGGACUCGCCUUAAAGUAAUUGGCAGCCAGUGUUUUGGUUUUGAAGCGCAGCACAAGUCGCGAUUCUAGUCUAUACGCUAGUUUCCACAAGUCUUUUAUCACUUUUGACCUCGGAUCAGGUAGGGAUACCCGCUGAACUUAAGCAUAUCAAUAAGCGGAGGA
This 335-nucleotide unclassified non-coding RNA is filed under the name soil metagenome. RNAcentral's name for it is "partial contains 5.8S ribosomal RNA, internal transcribed spacer 2, and large subunit ribosomal RNA". The stretch from base 1 to 120 matches the Rfam family "5.8S ribosomal RNA", at positions 35 to 154 of the family's 154-position model. The record is from RNAcentral.